This is a long non-coding RNA of Lotus japonicus, 1904 nucleotides long. RefSeq lists it as uncharacterized. Lineage: Eukaryota; Viridiplantae; Streptophyta; Magnoliopsida; Fabales; Fabaceae. The record is from RefSeq and is a predicted model, not a curated record. The transcript has 3 exons.
UUCUUCCACCCCUUUAUGGCUUUCUUCCGUUAUCGACUUAUCGUUCUCCCACCUCUUCUAAAGGAAUCGCCCGUUUUUUCCAAGAGUCGCGCUCAUUUAAAAAGCUUUGAGCUCUCCCCCUCCGUGUAUUUGGGUUUUUCGUUCUGAUUUCCCCGCCGAUUCUUCUUCUUAAUUUGUUCACACGUGGAAACAUUCUUCGAUUUGAGUUCUUCGUCCAGCCAGAGCCAUUUGUAUUGUUGUUCAGAUUUUCUUUUAUUGGGUAACCCUUCACGACAUUUCUCAACCUUAUCUGCUACAUUGUUAUACCCUGUCAACCAAUCAUUUUUAAAUUGUUCAUUGAUAUUUCAAUAUCUUGGUGAUUCCGUUUUUGAGUUAUGAGUUGUCAUAACAGGUGACUGAAAAUAUUCAAGGUAAUGACUUCACCAAAUUGGAAAUUUCAUAAUGUUUGAUUUCUUGGAUGUGUGUGGAUGUUGCUGAUUUUUUUAUUGUACUAUAGAGAGUACUUGCUCCAAAGCUUAGAAUCAGGCAGCUUAAAGUUCCUAAUUUGUGUGUUUAGUUAUAUAAAACUUACGAGACAACAAUGGCUGGUCUCAAAGGCAUAACUUGAUUAAACUUUCAUUGUAUAUUAAAGGCAGUUUGUUUAUUUUUCUUAUUUAGAUACCAUGAUGAACGAAUCAAUCAUUUUGUCUCUUUUCAUUUAACCUGCCAAUUGACUAUGACUUUUAUUCAGCAUGUUAUUUUCACCCACAUAAUUUGGUAUUUGAUAUAUAGCAUAAAGUGAUGUUGCACCGAUUCAACUUGCAGCCAAUAUGGCAUGUUAUACAACCAUUUUUUCUCUAGAAACGGCUUUGGCUUCAAUAUCAUAGGUUUCCUCCAUUUUUCCCAAUUGUCGCAAUUUACCCUGUCUUCUUUAAUAACAUCUCUUACAAAUAGAGAGCUAACAACUGAUUAACCACCUCAUUCCACUUGAUUUUUCCUUGACUUGAUCCCUAUGUGUUUUUCCUUCAAUCUUAUCAUGGCUAGAUUAAUUCAGCUUUAUUUAACAAGAGGACCAUAAGCUUGAUCUUUUCCACCAACUCUUUGUUCGGAUUUUUUACAUUUCAAUAAAGUAUCUAUGUUCUUCAAUUUCUUUAAAUUUAACAUCUUUAUGUCUAUUUUGACAUCUUACUUUCACGUGAAUUGACUAGCAUUUAUGAUGGAGGUAUCAAAAAAGAAAAUCAUAUAAUGAUAAUGAGAACUCCAAAAUCAAAUACUUACCCUAAGUUUGGCCUGCCAAUUUUUUUUUCCGCAUCUGCUGAAUAACUGUGAAGAUGUUGGGGAAAGUGAUAGAGGAAUAUGUGAGGACUACAAAGGAUGCUAAGAGUGUUUUGAAGGAAACACUGAAGAGGAUUUUGGAAGAAAACGCUUGAGCUGAUGAUGGAAGCAAAGGGUAUGUAAAUGGAGGUGGCCACAAAGAAGCUUCUUUUGCUGAAGAGGAUCCUACCAAGUUGUAGAAAAUGAAAUGGUGGAACCUCAAUAGCAAUUUCAUUGAUGUACCUUCUUUUUCACUCAGCAAAAGAUUGGUGAUAAGAUGCAAAAAGAGGCAGGGGCUUUCUUUAUGAUUUUUAUCACUCCCCUUUGCAAAGAUCGGCCAGGUGGGAAAUUCUGAUGCUGAAUCGUUCCUUCUCCUUGAAGUUUUCUUGAGCAAGAGUUAUCCAUGUUGAUACUGUGCAAUUAUUGAUGGUGGAUGCUAAGAAUCAACAGCUAUGCUAUUCAUUUUAGCCUAUUUCUCUGUGAAUGAUAUUUGCUGAUAGUGGAUGCAAAGGGACUUCAUAUAAUCAUGUUUAUAUGCCUUAUUGUUUAUUUUUCAUUUUCGGAUGCUUGAAUAAUUCAGUUAUUUGAACGAAGUUUUCUUUUUCUUUUUC